Molecule: non-coding RNA, 29 nt
Filed under: Homo sapiens (human)
Lineage: Eukaryota; Metazoa; Chordata; Mammalia; Primates; Hominidae
Source: RNAcentral
UCCGACCAAAUAUCCUUGAACGCCUGCCU